GGCAGUUCUAGGGUGACACCCUAGAAUCAGGCUCCCUCCUCUCUGGUUCCAGGUGCAUCACCUGAGAACUGUA
This is a non-coding RNA of Myotis davidii, 73 nucleotides long. The record is from Rfam. Lineage: Eukaryota; Metazoa; Chordata; Mammalia; Chiroptera; Vespertilionidae.